Molecule: ribosomal RNA, 460 nt
Filed under: uncultured bacterium
Lineage: Bacteria
Description: partial 16S ribosomal RNA
Rfam family: Bacterial small subunit ribosomal RNA
Source: RNAcentral
CCUACGGGAGGCAGCAGUGAGGAAUAUUGGUCAAUGGACGAGAGUCUGAACCAGCCAAGUAGCGUGAAGGAUGACUGCCCUAUGGGUUGUAAACUUCUUUUAUAAAGGAAUAAAACGAGGCACGUGUGCCUUUUUGUAUGUACUUUAUGAAUAAGGAUCGGCUAACUCCGUGCCAGCAGCCGCGGUAAUACGGAGGAUCCGAGCGUUAUCCGGAUUUAUUGGGUUUAAAGGGAGCGUAGAUGGGUUGUUAAGUCAGUUGUGAAAGUUUGCGGCUCAACCGUAAAAUUGCAAUUGAUACUGGCAGUCUUGAGUACAGUUGAGGUAAGCGGAAUUCGUGGUGUAGCGGUGAAAUGCUUAGAUAUCACGAAGAACCCCGAUUGCGAAGGCAGCUUACUAAACUGUGACUGACAUUGAUGCUCGAAAGUGUGGGUAUCAAACAGGAUUAGAUACCCUAGUAGUC